AACGAACGCUGGCGGCAUGCCUAACACAUGCAAGUCGAACGAGACCUUCGGGUCUAGUGGCGCACGGGUGCGUAACGCGUGGGAACCUGCCCUUAGGUUCGGAAUAACUCCCCGAAAGGGGUGCUAAUACCGGAUAAUGUCUUCGGACCAAAGAUUUAUCGCCUUUGGAUGUGCCCGCGUUGGAUUAGCUAGUUGGUAGGGUAAAAGCCUACCAAGGCGACGAUCCAUAGCUGGUAUGAGAGGAUGAUCAGCAACACUGGGACUGAGACACGGCCCAGACUCCUACGGAAGGCAGCAGUGGGGAAUAUUGGACACUGGGCGAGAGCCUGAUCCAGCAAGGCCGCGGGAGUGAUGAAGGCCUUAGGGUUGUAAAGCUCUUUUACCCGGGAUGAUAAGGACAGUACCGGGAGAAUAAGCUCCGGCUAACUCCGU
Molecule: ribosomal RNA, 432 nt
Filed under: uncultured bacterium
Lineage: Bacteria
Description: partial 16S ribosomal RNA
Rfam family: Bacterial small subunit ribosomal RNA
Source: RNAcentral